Molecule: transfer RNA, 84 nt
Filed under: Hyphomicrobiales bacterium
Lineage: Bacteria; Pseudomonadati; Pseudomonadota; Alphaproteobacteria; Hyphomicrobiales
Also listed under: 3 other names
Description: tRNA-Leu
Rfam family: tRNA
About the family: Transfer RNA (tRNA) molecules are approximately 80 nucleotides in length. Their secondary structure includes four short double-helical elements and three loops (D, anti-codon, and T loops). Further hydrogen bonds mediate the characteristic L-shaped molecular structure. tRNAs have two regions of fundamental functional importance: the anti-codon, which is responsible for specific mRNA codon recognition, and the 3' end, to which the tRNAs corresponding amino acid is attached (by aminoacyl-tRNA synthetases). tRNAs cope with the degeneracy of the genetic code in two manners: having more than one tRNA (with a specific anti-codon) for a particular amino acid; and 'wobble' base-pairing, i.e. permitting non-standard base-pairing at the 3rd anti-codon position.
Source: RNAcentral
GCCCUUGUGGUGGAAUGGUAGACGCGGCGGACUCAAAAUCCGCUCUCGAAAGAGGUGGGGGUUCAAGUCCCUCCAAGGGCACCA